Molecule: ribosomal RNA, 497 nt
Filed under: uncultured bacterium
Lineage: Bacteria
Description: partial 16S ribosomal RNA
Rfam family: Bacterial small subunit ribosomal RNA
Source: RNAcentral
GAUGAACGCUGGCGGCGUGCCUAAUACAUGCAAGUCGAGCGAACAGAUGAGGAGCUUGCUCCUCUGACGUUAGCGGCGGACGGGUGAGUAACACGUGGAUAACCUACCUAUAAGACUGGGAUAACUUCGGGAAACCGGAGCUAAUACCGGAUAAUAUAUUGAACCGCAUGGUUCAAUAGUGAAAGACGGUUUUGCUGUCACUUAUAGAUGGAUCCGCGCCGCAAUAGCUAGUUGGUAAGGUAACGGCUUACCAAGGCAACGAUGCGUAGCCGACCUGAGAGGGUGAUCGGCCACACUGGAACUGAGACACGGUCCAGACUCCUACGGGAGGCAGCAGUAGGGAAUCUUCCGCAAUGGGCGAAAGCUUGACGGAGCAACGCCGCGUGAGUGAUGAAGGUCUUCGGAUCGUAAAACUCUGUUAUUAGGGAAGAACAAAUGUGUAAGUAACUAUGCACGUCUUGACGGUACCUAAUCAGAAAGCCACGGCUAACUACGUG